UAUGAGGAAGAGAGAUGAUGGGGAAGG
RNAcentral lists this non-coding RNA (27 nucleotides) under Rattus norvegicus (Norway rat). Lineage: Eukaryota; Metazoa; Chordata; Mammalia; Rodentia; Muridae. The record is from RNAcentral.